ACCUUUUUCGAAAGCGAUUCGCGCAACAACGCGAUGAGCCCGGAUCGUUUAGAUUGAUUCACGUGUCCUCGGAUCGUCCUUGAAUGUCUUCUCACGCUCCACGAACUCGCGGUGGAUCGAACUACAAACGAGCGCGAUCGCAAAUCCACCGUGCAAGUCCCUCUAGAAUAAUAGGUCAAUGGAGGAUGUGGUUUCUCUCUAUUAUUUUCUUAUUCUCUCUCUUUUUUCGUUCCUUUUUUGUACAUCGUUUCAUGUGGGAUCGCCCGUCUAUUUAUAAGGAAUUCCAAAAUCCUAAUAGCGUUAGAGAUAAGGCCAAAUCGAUUAUUAUUUGUUAUCCUAAUAUGAUUAGAUUUAUCUCUAAUUAGCUUUCCAAUUUGAAAGCGAGAUUAAUCCUAAUCCAAUUAGAUAUAAUAUCCGUCGGAUCGAACCCGCUUAUGAGCGUACCCGAUUCGAUUUAACCGAAUGCCAACAUCUCCCACUCGCACAUGACGGGAUCGAUGCCAUCGUAACCACUUCCUCAACAUCACACCACUAUUAAUUCUAUUCAUACAGGGAAAUGAACAGUGCGACCGCCGAGUCAACCUGCAUUUUGGGAGCUCUAUACUAGAAACCGCAUCCGGCCAGCAUAGAGACAUCAACCCUCAAAAAGAGAAAAAAAAAUAUUAGACUCGUGAUGCCCUAGACCAUUGAAUUACAUCAGGUUCAGCAUCUCUAAUCCCUCAAAGAGCCAUGCUAACCGCAAUUGCGCACAUUAUGACACUAUACUCAUAAUUAUUUCGCUAUACUGAAGCGAUACAACCUGUCGACAAUGAGUCAAAGUGUUUAGUGUAAUUCAACUAGUCUUCCUUGAGCCCUCAUGCCACUGAGUUGAGAACUGAUUGCUUUCCCAGCAAUGCCCCGUAAAGCCGCAUCACUCAUAGCCGUAGGUAACAUGCCAAAGUAGCAACAUCAAUUCUUUCACUUAAUGACAUAGUCAAAAGUUACUAAGGGCAUCUAUCAUAUAUAGGACAUCGUCUCAAAAAAAAAUGCCCGUAAGAACUCACACGAUGAGGAAGCAGGGAUCCAUUCACUCAUCUUCUUUAUUUAGUCGCCCAGCACAUGUAGUAUGAAAUACAUGCUAUAACAGAGAAUCCCAAUAAGCGUAUGUCUUUCUCAAUAUCAUACGGAUCUUAGCUCAGUCACUCCCGAAGUGUCUAGCCUGAGUUCUCCAUUUGCUCGCUAUCUCAAGCGUCAAACGGUGAGCUCACAUCCGGCUCUCAAUAUGCAGGCCAUACGAAUCGUGGGACUUUUCGUAUGCGGUCUCAUUAAUGACCUCAUCUUGGUGCCAACCAAGGCGGCUUCCAUUAAUGCCUCAAUUUUCGCUCGCUCUCUACAGCGCCGAAAGGUAUGAUUGCCCGUGUGAGAGGGCCAAUCGGCCUGCGACAUACUAUCAAUCAGUUUAAUAACAAUGCAUGUGUACUAAUUUUACCAAAUAUCUUUUCCAGAAUAAUAAUUUGUAAUUAAAUAACCAAAAAAUUAUAAAAAAUAAUCGACUGUCUACACAAUCAAAUCCUACGGAGUCCAAGAGCUUUAACAUGAGCCCAAAAAUAAUUCUCUAACAAUAGGCUUAGUUAGAGAAUCUACAACCACGCGACUCGUAGAUAUGUGUUCCAGGAUUAUUUUCUUCUGCGCCACUGCCUUCGAGUGGUCCAAUCCCAGAUUGGACGGAAAAUGGCUAACCAGGCCCACGGCAUAGCAUAUAUCAGGCCGAGUACACAUCAUAGCAUACAUCAGGCUCCCGACCGCAUUAGCAUAUGGAAUCCGAUUCAUCUUGUCCUUCUCUUCAGAAGUUUUAGGGCACUGAUGCAAGAUUCGCAAUAAGAUAUCCAUCACACAUCAAACAAGACACCUCACAAAAUCGAUUUAGGGUUUCGUUUUUCUUAUAAAACACAAAACCAUAUUAAAUCAAGCUUUGUAAAUUUAAUCUUUCAACAUAGGUGUUUUAAGAUGUGUAAAAAUCAUACAAAGAUGUCCACCUUUGAAAAAAGGCCAUUAACGCUCAUAUACAUGCAAAAUAAAAUCCAAAUUUUGAUAGAUUUAAUUUUUAACGCAUGUAAUCUCGUUAGAACAUGAUUUAGGGCACGAAAUCAACCAACAAGGCUCUGAUACCAAUGUAGAAAGCAGCGGAAGUUUUCGAUUCGUACCUUUUUCGGAAGCGAUUCGCGCAACAACGCGAUGAGCCCGGAUCGUUUAGAUUGAUUCACGUGUCCUCGGAUCGUCCUUGAAUGUCUUCUCACGCUCCACGAACUCGCGGUGGAUCGAACUACAAACGAGCGCGAUCGCAAAUCCACCGUGCAAGUCCCUCUAGAAUAAUAGGUCAAUGGAGGAUGUGGUUUCUCUCUAUUAUUUUCUUAUUCUCUCUCUUUUUUCGUUCCUUUUUUGUACAUCGUUUCAUGUGGGAUCGCCCGUCUAUUUAUAAGGAAUUCCAAAAUCCUAAUAGCGUUAGAGAUAAGGCCAAAUCGGUUAUUAUUUGUUAUCCUAAUAUGAUUAGAUUUAUCUCUAAUUAGCUUUCUAAUUUGAAAGCGAGAUUAAUCCUAAUCCAAUUAGAUAUAAUAUCCGUCGGAUCGAACCCGCUUAUGGGCGUACCCGAUUCGAUUUAACCGAAUGCCAA
Molecule: long non-coding RNA, 2650 nt
Filed under: Ananas comosus (pineapple)
Lineage: Eukaryota; Viridiplantae; Streptophyta; Magnoliopsida; Poales; Bromeliaceae
Description: long non-coding RNA (ACOM_LNC003158)
Source: RNAcentral